AUUGAACGCUGGCGGCAGGCCUAACACAUGCAAGUCGAACGAGUGGCGGACGGGUGAGUAAUGUCUGGGAAACUGCCUGAUGGAGGGGGAUAACUACUGGAAACGGUAGCUAAUACCGCAUACCAUCAGAUGUGCCCAGAUGGGAUUAGCUAGUUGGUGGGGUAACGGCUCACCAAGGCGACGAUCCCUAGCUGGUUUGAGAGGAUGACCAGCAACACUGGAACAGAAAAACGGUCCAGACUCCAACGGGAGGCAGAAGUGGGGAAUAUUGCCCAAUGGGCGAAAGCCUGAUGCAGCCAUGCCGCGUGUAUGAAGAAGGCCUUCGGGUUGUAAAGUACUUUCAGCGGGGAGGCGUUACCCGCAGAAGAAGCACCGGCUAACUCCGUGCCAGCAGCCGCGGUAAUAC
RNAcentral lists this ribosomal RNA (406 nucleotides) under uncultured bacterium. Its description in RNAcentral is "partial 16S ribosomal RNA". It matches the Rfam family "Bacterial small subunit ribosomal RNA", at positions 30 to 526 of the family's 1533-position model. The record is from RNAcentral.